This 210-nucleotide long non-coding RNA is filed under the name Mytilus galloprovincialis (Mediterranean mussel). The record is from RNAcentral. Lineage: Eukaryota; Metazoa; Mollusca; Bivalvia; Mytilida; Mytilidae.
UGGUAGAUCAACUUCUCUACAGUUGCUGAAAGUCCUAGACAAGUGGACAAAGGUACUUGACAAAGGAGGUAUAUUACACUCGAUUUAUAUAUAUGGACUUCAUGAAAGCCGCAUAUGAGACAAUACUACACAAGAUUAAACACAAUAGUAUCAGUGAGCAAACUACAAACUGGACAAGAAGCAUCCUUAGUAAUAGACAACAGUGCGUAC